Molecule: long non-coding RNA, 513 nt
Filed under: Toxoplasma gondii VEG
Lineage: Eukaryota; Apicomplexa; Conoidasida; Eucoccidiorida; Sarcocystidae
Source: RNAcentral
CGCAUAUUGUCUGCAUCUGUCGCGACUCUUUGCCCUGCUGGAUCUCCCAGGGUGUCUACAUUUUCACCGCUGCCCACGUUUCUCUGUGUCUUACCAUUUCCUUUUUUCCCUGAUUUCUGCGAGUCACCGAGCAACGUCCCUUCUGGGCAAGAACCUGGGCUUGUCCGCCUGCCUCGCCAGCUACAGAAUCGCCACCCACGCUGCAUGCGCUCUUCCUCGUUGAGAACGGUCUUCAGAGCGAAGACUUCUUGCGUCUUACGGUGUUUGAAAAUUUUCACGUCUCCUGAAGGCGAGGGCGGGAGGGAUAUGCCCAGAAAACACACGUCCACGAAACUAUGCAUCCAGAGGACAACCGAAGAGACAUGCCCCUGUAUUCAUCUUCGUGUGUGUCUAUACAGCUGUGGAAACUGUGGAGCGGGGAAUUCCCAAGAAACAAAGACGUGCGCACGUACACAGACGUGCAUAGAUGUUUGCACUUCUGCAGAAGAUUCGCUUUACCCGAGACAAGAGCAC